RNAcentral lists this ribosomal RNA (484 nucleotides) under uncultured bacterium. Its description in RNAcentral is "partial 16S ribosomal RNA". It matches the Rfam family "Bacterial small subunit ribosomal RNA", at positions 30 to 507 of the family's 1533-position model. The record is from RNAcentral.
AUUGAACGCUGGCGGCAGGCCUAACACAUGCAAGUCGAGCGGAUGAAGGGAGCUUGCUCCUGGAUUCAGCGGCGGACGGGUGGGUAAUGCCUAGGAAUCUGCCUGGUAGUGGGGGAUAACGUCCGGAAACGGGCGCUAAUACCGCAUACGUCCUGAGGGAGAAAGUGGGGGAUCUUCGGACCUCACGCUAUCAGAUGAGCCUAGGUCGGAUUAGCUAGUUGGUGGGGUAAAGGCCUACCAAGGCGACGAUCCGUAACUGGUCUGAGAGGAUGAUCAGUCACGCUGGAACUGAGACACGGUCCAGACUCCUACGGGAGGCAGCAGUGGGGAAUAUUGGACAAUGGGCGAAAGCCUGAUCCAGCCAUGCCGCGUGUGUGAAGAAGGUCUUCGGAUUGUAAAGCACUUUAAGUUGGGAGGAAGGGCAGUAAGUUAAUACCUUGCUGUUUUGACGUUACCAACAGAAUAAGCACCGGCUAACUUCGUG